AAAAAAUUAUUCCCUGCUCAUUCCAUUACAAAACAUGAAGUUUACUCCAGAAUGACUCACUCUGUCACCAAGGGAGAAGGUAUGAUCUGCUACAUGUGUCAGAAAAAGCCUAUGAGGUAAUUUUCAUUCUCUCAACAUAUGAAAACUAUUAUUUCCUCACAUAAUGAAAAUGCAAGGAUGUAGGUGGCAAUUCCCAGAUGGACACAAAAAAAUAAAAAAAAACUCUGGUGGAUUGCUAAUCAUGUUUUGAAAAAAACAAAUGCAUUUUAAUCAUAACGAAUAUUUUCGUGUAUGGGAAGAAGGUUUUUCUCAUCUGCAGCAUCCACAUUACAUUUGGCAAUAACAGUGUAAUCCAGAAUUCAUAUGUAAGUGUUUCUCAUUUCUGAUGCUCACAUUUCAUGAUGAGUUGAGCUACACAGGAAAUUCAGGUGCCAUAAAGGGUAAGUAUCCACAUAGAGCAUAUCUUUUGCUUCCUCUGUAGUUUCAUUACUCUUUGGUACACUUCCAGAUCAUAUGAAAUACAAUAUCACUCACCAAGUUUUCUGGACCCUCAGCAUUUGAAUUAAGCACUCACAGAUGUUCCCUUUGCUCUCCUUUAAGCAUGAUGGAUCCCCUCGCUGUAGGCUCUCCACUGAGGUACAGUUGUUGUCUCACUUUGAAAGGAAUUUCAGAAAACAUUUCAGUUCAUCUGUGGAAUUUUCCAUCUGAGUGUUGUUAUUUAUUUGCAUUGUCACCAUGCACCAGAGACCAGCCACUUGCAAGGCCCCUUCUCUAAAGGUACUGAUGAAACUUGUAUGUCCCCACUACAAGUUUCCCGGAGGACUGUGACAAAGCAGAAUCUAGCAUUUUUUUAUUUUUAAUUACCUCAAGCUAAAAAGAGGGAGGGGAAAAGGAAUUACUCAGGGAAAGGAACCAUAACUGAGGAUUGUCUAGUGAAUCAGCAGGAUCAGUGUUGUAACUCUGCUGCUUGUGAAAGUGCCACUGAGAAAGACCGCUCAAACUCGAGCUCUCAAACUGGUGAAUUUUUCAAUCAGCAUUUCACAACAUCCAGAGUGGGAGCAUCUCUUUCCCAAGAUGGGAAAAGACCUCCUGAUUUUAGUCUCCAGAAACGCACACCAUGAAACAACAUGGUGUUUCAUGUGUGCUGGGACCUGCCUUGAGUGGAAGGUCAUGUAUCCAGAAAGGGCUUGGUGGGCAGGAGUAGACCUCACUUCCUUUUGCUACUGAGGAGGGACACCCACACUGCAAACCAGCUGCUGUUUGCACUCCAAAGGGCUUCUUGUCCUUGUCAAACCAGGCCCCUGUCAAACCCUCAGGGCUCAGUUUAAAGUAGCCCUUGGUGAAGAGGAGAAAUUCCAUUAUUUCAGCAGCUCACACCAGGUAAGAGCCACACAAACCACAAGGCCACCAUCAGACCCAUGUGCUGAGAAAUACUGAACCACUCUGGAAAGUGUGGGCUGCUGCACAGAAAGCUAUGCAGAAAUAAGCUCAUGGCUUGUGUGCACACUCCAGCAACCCUCAGAGAGCAAGCAAAAUUAGAGACACAGCUGGAAGAGGAGUCCCAUCCUCAGCAGCAAGGCUCAAUUUCACAGCAGUAGGCAAGCAACUCAUUUACUCUCCAAACCAGCACAGACUGAGGUGGCACAGCACAGAUUUGCUGCUCUCCUGGUUUAAAGAAUCCCACCUCGAGGCACAAGCAGGACCCAAAAGGAACAGAGCCUCCCCACAACAGGAACCCAGCACAUCGCUGAAGAGGCACAGCUGCCCAGACAGCCAUCAUCACCAUCAUCAUCAUCACCAUCAUCACCAUCACCAUCAUCACCAUCAUCAUCAUCACUAUCAUCAUCAUCACCAUCAUCAUCAUCAUCCUAGCAUCUGCCCACGCCAGAGCUGCGCAACAAUUCCUCUACCACCCUGAGUCUAAAUCCAAUUCUGGGCUCAAAGAAGCAGCAGAGAAUACCACCAGAAGCCAGUGCUAUGGGCCAGAACGCCUCUCUUGCUCCUCAGAGCAGCAGGACUCCCCUCCAGCUCCCACUCUCAGUGCAAAGCAUCUGCAAAGCCUGCCAUGAGAGCAACCAGAGCAUGUUCCAGAAGCUGGGACCUUGCAGGGCAGCUCAGUGCCAGGGACACAGAAAGGGCUGUCCUCCAGCUUUCCUCAGCAACAAGAGCAGUGAUGUCCACAGAGCUACGGGAAACAGCAGAGGAAUAUAACUCCUGGGCUGGCUUUCAUACACAUUUCCCUUCUCUCUGGCAGAUGGGUUUGAACUUUGAUUUCAAGCCUGCACCUUCAGGUGCUCUGAAGGGUGAUAGGACACCAGACACCAUCAAGGAGCAGGAGCAGCCAGAGCAUGGCUGGCAUGGAGCUUGGGCUCAGUGACUGUAGCAGAGUCACAACAAGAUGUGCUACCUGUGGGGAUUUGGGGAUGCAGGUAAUCAGCCAGAUUUAAGAAAGUUUUGCAGAUGUCACCUCUGCAGGGUUUUAAAAAAAAAUGUGGCACCUGUUCCAAAUGGGAAAGUGUUCCUAGAGGAAAUAUUUUUCAGAAGAGAUUAAAAAGAUUUUGACAAUUCAACCUACUUUCUUCCAGUUCUUGGAUAUUUACUAGCUUAGUACCAUUUUCUCCACCCCUGAGAAUUUACACAGCCAAGGCAAAAAGCCAAUCCAAAUACUCAAUCUGACUCUUCCAACUGAAAAAUGCCAUGAAAAGAGGAACUUUUUGGGGGCAAACUCAGCUCAUGUUCAAUGGUGACUUUUAUUCAAAAUAGGCCUGAGACAAGUUUCCUCACUCUCUCCUCCCUCCUUUCAAGACUGUGCUGUCAUGGGCACCUGAGACCCCACAUGGAGUUUCUGCAGAAGUUUUAGGAGGCGAAGCACCUCGUAGGUGCAGCUUCCCCUUGCCUCAAUGGGUGAUCAAACAAGAACCUUAAGGGCCCAAUUGCCCUUGUACUCGUGCCCGUUCUCUGUGCACUGACGUCAAAUGUGCUGCACAUUUGUGCUGGCAUAAAUAGCAAGGGAGGAGAAUCAAUUCCCGUUCAGCCAAACGCAGGUCACUUCCAUCCUCUGGCCAAAAGUACUCUCAGGAUAGCAUACAAUUUGGCCCACUGAUUUUAAUAUAUUGGCAUUUCCUCCCUCUUACUGUGUGAACACAUUGUUUACAAUUUCAGUAAGCCACUUUGGAAAACACUGUUAUAAAUCAGGAUACAUAAAUGCUUGUCCUUCUUGCCUCCAGUGUCAGACAUAGCUAGUGUGGGAGUUAGGUCAAUUGGGGAUACAAAAAACCCCACCUCAAGCCUUCUUCACUAUUUCCUUAGUGUUUCAGGUGGGUUCUGAAUUUCCUCAAUACUUCUGAACUGCAAAUCUAUUGAGCAUUACAACAAUCACCCAAAAGGAGUCUUGCUCAGUGGUGAUAUUUUAAUCUAUUAAUUAAUUUCAGUAUCCCUUUAAAGUGGCCAUCACUCACACACUGAAUCUCUUGGCAGGGAGGCCUUGCUCAUUUGCUGUUUGUGUGUUACUUUAAACCAAAGAGUAAAAGGAUAAUCUGGAUCUAAUGUGUAUUCCAGAUUGGUUUGGCUGUCUUGCAGAGGGUAAGCACGGAGCUUCUCUUCAAUUAGCAGGAGAGGAGGCAAAGCUGGAAUUGCUCUAUGAAUUGCCUAUAGUAUUGACGAGACAGCGGAGGAUACGGCUGCGCUUUCCAGACCGAAAUGAGUCACCUGUUGUCUGCAGGAGCUCGUGCCAAGAAUGGUCAGAUUUGAGCUCAAGGGAGUGCUUUCCAGAGGACUUCAGCCAACAGCUGUUUCCCUUCAGCUGGACUGUGCUGAGAAUCUAGCCUCAAGUUAAAGCAUGAAAAGAAACGGUGGUACUAGAUGCCAAAAGAAGUGUGAAGGUCAAAUUUCCCAAUAAAAUGGAAACAUGGGUUGCUGGAAUUUUCUACCCUGCUUUUCUGCUCUUCCCAGUGUAGAGUGGUGACCCUGUCAGGCAACCAAUCGACCAAUGGAGAGUGCUGGAAAGUUCCUGCUUCUUCAGGAACAGAUCAGAAGAUGAGUCAUUAAUACAUAUGUUCAACCCAGUUCAGAUGCUCAAGCAGUUUAACAGUCCAGGAAUUGUUUGGGAGAGCAAUUUCCAUUGUAGCCAGUGAGAAGACUAAAGUAAGGAUGAGGAUAUGUUAGAUCAGUGUCCUGCUCCAUCACAGACUACCUCUCAGCAUGUUGCUUAUUGCUGACCUCCUCAUAGCAUUAUAGAUGCCUGACCAGCCCAUCCAGUUUUGGUGGGAGCUUGGUGCUCUGAAUCUUCAUGGAUCUGGAGUUUAGUCAGUUUAGCCACCUUUUAGUGAAAUUAUGAAAAAUGUUUUCCUCCUCUAUAUAGGAGUGACUGUGAGAAUAGCUGAGGAGCACAGAGCUCCUCCCCACUUAAGGCCACAGCAGUGAACUGUCUUCCUUGCACAGCCUGCAGCAAUUUUAGCACCCAUGACAAAAUCCCAACCAGAGCCCACACUGUGCUCUCUAAAUGGCAACUCACUGCAGAGAAACUGCACUUGAAAUCCUUCCCAUCACCAACUCACAAACAUAAGCUAGUUUUGUGCAGAAUCUUAAAGGAAAAACCUAAUUAUUUCCACUGCAAUUAUCACCAGUAGCCUUCACAUGGUCAGUGUAGGAUGCAAGAGCAAAUCUCCUGCCUAGCAGCUGUAACACUUGGCCAGAUUCUGCAGAGAUUACAGCAAUCCAGUGCCUAGCAGGGCAGCUUGCUCUUAUUCUCUGCCCCUUCCCCUCCUAGAGGCACACAUGACUACCACACCUAUCAUGCUUUUUAACAUCUUCACCUCUUUGCAAAGGAGCCAGAGUGGCUUGUAUCUCAUUUCAAGAAACCUCCUCAACCUGCCUCCCAGAGACUCGUGAUUCCCAACAUGGACAGAGAGCAGAAAGCGACUAUAAAACAUUAAUUUCUGUGUAAAGACUGAAAACAAUUUGCAAAGACUGAAUUAUUUUUUAAAAAUUAUCACUGAUUCAAAAGAAAGGCAUUAUUCAUCAUCUUUCAUAGACUUUAUAACCAGGAUCACUGAUCAUGUCUGACUCCUAGUAAAGCACAGGUCAGUGAUUUCAUCCAGUGAAGCCUGUGUCCUGCCCAUGCAUGCAAAAUGAGCUUCCCAAUUAGUACUGGUUAGAGCCUUCCAGUGCAGUAUCAGGAAAUGCUAUUUCAUUGGAAGUGAAAUGUGUCAGCUCCAAUUACCAUUUCAUUUUGAAAAAAGUAUCAGUCUACAGAUUUCCAGGACAGGCCAAGUGUAAAAUUUUCUUUUUCCCUUUUGUGAUAGCUUUUAGUGUAAUUUUUUGGAGGAAUAUAGAAGCAUCAAAACAUAAAAUAUUUUGAUGAAUAUCCAGUUUUCACAUGAAAAUUAAAUAAGUAUGUUUACUCUUCUCUUCAGAAAAAUGCCUCAUUCUCACAGUGGCAUCAAAAAACCAAACACAAGAUCAUAUAGACAGUCAUGGGACUAGCAAAUAUAAGGUAACAUUCACAUUCCCUUUUAUGCAGUAACAACAUGUUUACACCCACAUAAGUAAAGGCAGUGAGGACAAAAGCCAGUUGUAAGUCCCUCAAAAUCUCUUAGAAGGAAACUCAUUGGCUAAAACACGUGUGUGAUGCUCAGCCAGAAAAAUAUUUUCUUCCCUGUAUUCAUGUUGAUGGGAAAGAAAUGCCAUUCCUGAGACAUAAAAAAGACUACUUACUCAUUGAAAGUUCUAGUGCAUUUUCACCCCCUAUGUCACAAAGCCUUACUUACAGACAUCAAAUGAUCUAAUUAUUGAAAACUUCUUUAAUACAAGUUGCUUUGAGGGUUUCCCAGAGUGUUCAGAGUUUCCUUCUAAAGAAUUUCCAAAUUAUAACACAGUGACUAAUUGAACCUGCAUCUGCAACCCCAGCUUUUGGCUGUCUGGGACAAUCAUAAGGAAGCUUCACAGUGCAGUGCAUUUUCAGGGAUAAUACCUAACAAAGAUUUUCUUAUUUGUCCAUUUUCUUAUUUUCCAACUUGCAGUUUAUAUCACUACAAUUUUACACACAGAAACUUCAAAGGAUUUUAAUUUAAAGAGGGAUUUUCA
Taeniopygia guttata (zebra finch) is the source of this 6084-nucleotide long non-coding RNA. The record is from Ensembl. Lineage: Eukaryota; Metazoa; Chordata; Aves; Passeriformes; Estrildidae.